CCUACGGGAGGCAGCAGUCGAGAAUCAUUCACAAUGGGGGAAACCCUGAUGGUGCGACGCCGCGUGGGGGAAUGAAGGUCUUCGGAUUGUAAACCCCUGUCAUGUGGGAGCAAAUUAAAAAGAUAGUACCACAAGAGGAAGAGACGGCUAACUCUGUGCCAGCAGCCGCGGUAAUACAGAGGUCUCAAGCGUUGUUCGGAAUCACUGGGCGUAAAGCGUGCGUAGGCGGUUUCGUAAGUCGUGUGUGAAAGGCGCGGGCUCAACCCGCGGACGGCACAUGAUACUGCGAGACUAGAGUAAUGGAGGGGGAACCGGAAUUCUCGGUGUAGCAGUGAAAUGCGGAGAUAUCGAGAGGAACACUCGUGGCGAAGGCGGGUUCCUGGACAUUAACUGACGCUGAGGCACGAAGGCCAGGGGAGCGAAAGGGAUUAGAUACCCGUGUAGUC
RNAcentral lists this ribosomal RNA (446 nucleotides) under uncultured bacterium. RNAcentral's name for it is "partial 16S ribosomal RNA". It matches the Rfam family "Bacterial small subunit ribosomal RNA", at positions 338 to 795 of the family's 1533-position model. The record is from RNAcentral.